GACGAACGCUGGCGGCGUGCUUAACACAUGCAAGUCGAACGGAAAGGCCCUGCUUUUGUGGGGUGCUCGAGUGGCGAACGGGUGAGUAACACGUGAGUAACCUGCCCUUGACUUUGGGAUAACUUCAGGCAACUGGGGCUAAUACCGGAUAGGAGCUCCUGCUGCAUGGUGGGGGUUGGAAAGUUUCGGCGGUUGGGGAUGGACUCGCGGCUUAUCAGCUUGUUGGUGGGGUAGGUGCUUACCAAGGCUUUGAGGGGUAGCCGGCCUGAGAGGGUGACCGGCCACAUUGGGACUGAGAUACGGCCCAGACUCCUACGGGAGGCAGGAGUGGGGAAUAUUGCACAAUGGGCGGAAGCCUGAUGCAGCAACGCCGCGUGCGGGAUGACGGCCUUCGGGUUGUAAACCGCUUUCGCCUGUGACGAAGCGUGAGUGACGGUAAUGGGUAAAGAAGCACCGGCUAACUACGUG
This 468-nucleotide ribosomal RNA is filed under the name uncultured bacterium. Its description in RNAcentral is "partial 16S ribosomal RNA". It matches the Rfam family "Bacterial small subunit ribosomal RNA", at positions 28 to 507 of the family's 1533-position model. The record is from RNAcentral.